This 399-nucleotide ribosomal RNA is filed under the name uncultured bacterium. RNAcentral's name for it is "bacterial SSU rRNA". It matches the Rfam family "Bacterial small subunit ribosomal RNA", at positions 362 to 776 of the family's 1533-position model. The record is from RNAcentral.
UAUUGCACAAUGGGGGGAACCCUGAUGCAGCGACGCCGCGUGCGGGAAGACGGUUUUCGGAUUGUAAACCUCUGUCUUUAGGGACGAAACAAAUGACGGUCCCUCAAGAGGAAGCCACGGCUAACUCCGUGCCAGCAGCUGCGGUAAUACGUAGGUGGCAAGCGUUGUCCGGAAUUACUGGGUGUAAAGGGAGCGUAGGCGGGCAUGCAAGUUGAAUGUUUAAACUAUGGGCUCAACCCAUAGUCGCGUUCAAAACUGCAUUUCUUGAGUGGAGUAGAGGCAGGCGGAAUUCCUAGUGUAGCGGUGAAAUGCGUAGAUAUUAGGAGGAACACCAGUGGCGAAGGCGGCCUGCUGGGCUCUAACUGACGCUGAGGCUCGAAAGCGUGGGUAGCAAACAGG